Molecule: ribosomal RNA, 427 nt
Filed under: uncultured bacterium
Lineage: Bacteria
Description: partial 16S ribosomal RNA
Rfam family: Bacterial small subunit ribosomal RNA
Source: RNAcentral
UGGGGAAUAUUGCACAAUGGGCGCAAGCCUGAUGCAGCCAUGCCGCGUGUAUGAAGAAGGCCUUCGGGUUGUAAAGUACUUUCAGCGGGGAGGAAGGCGAUAAGGUUAAUAACCUUGUCGAUUGACGUUACCCGCAGAAGAAGCACCGGCUAAUUCCGUGCCAGCAGCCGCGGUAAUACGGAGGGUGCAAGCGUUAAUCGGAAUUACUGGGCGUAAAGCGCACGCAGGCGGUCUGUCAAGUCGGAUGUGAAAUCCCCGGGCUCAACCUGGGAACUGCAUUCGAAACUGGCAGGCUAGAGUCUUGUAGAGGGGGGUAGAAUUCCAGGUGUAGCGGUGAAAUGCGUAGAGAUCUGGAGGAAUACCGGUGGCGAAGGCGGCCCCCUGGACAAAGACUGACGCUCAGGUGCGAAAGCGUGGGGAGCAAACA